Molecule: unclassified non-coding RNA, 328 nt
Filed under: plant metagenome
Description: partial contains 5.8S ribosomal RNA, internal transcribed spacer 2, and large subunit ribosomal RNA
Rfam family: 5.8S ribosomal RNA (bases 1-104)
Source: RNAcentral
GAAAUGCGAUAAGUAAUGUGAAUUGCAGAAUUCCGUGAAUCAUCGAAUCUUUGAACGCACAUUGCGCCCUCUGGUAUUCCGGGGGCAUACCUGUCCGAGCGUCAUUGCGAACCCCUCAAGCACGGCUUGUGUGAUGGGCCCUCCCGCGUCUUGGUCGUCAAGACGGGCCCGAAAUGCAGUGGCGGCUUCGCGGUUAUCCGAUCAGCCAGAGCGUAUGGGGACUCUCUCUCUUGUCACACGCCCGCGGCGCGGACCGACGCCUGUCGACCUUUAUUCAUCUUCUCUCGGUUGACCUCGGAUCAGGUAGGGAUACCCGCUGAACUUAAGC